AAAUAGACAAACCAUGGAUUUCCGUGCUAACAUUUGACUGUCUGUCUUAUAUAAAAUUUUUUUAUAAUUAAUAUUUUUAUUGUUGUUAGAUGAUAAAACAUGAUUAAUACUUUAUGCGUGAAAUAAGACGGAUGGUCAAAUGUUGGACACGGAAAUCAGGGUUUGUCUUUUU
Molecule: non-coding RNA, 172 nt
Organism: Oryza meridionalis
Lineage: Eukaryota; Viridiplantae; Streptophyta; Magnoliopsida; Poales; Poaceae
Source: Rfam